UCUUAGCCUGAUCUAACUGUAACAGCAGAUAGGAUUCGGAGCAAAAUAACAAAUUUUGAAAUCCAAAGGACAAAUUAACACAAGAAUAUUAGGGUUUUUAGGGAUAAGUAAUUGGGAAUACCUGUUCCUCCGAGAUGAAAUUCAUUAACCUUAUGGGUCUUGGCGAUUCCUCUGCCAUGUUUCAAAUUUUUUUGCUCGAUAAUUAACAAUUUCCCGUUUCCAAGCCCUAAUUUUCUUGCAGUUAUUAGGUUUUGACAAUCC
RNAcentral lists this unclassified non-coding RNA (261 nucleotides) under Hevea brasiliensis (rubber tree). Lineage: Eukaryota; Viridiplantae; Streptophyta; Magnoliopsida; Malpighiales; Euphorbiaceae. The record is from RNAcentral.